UACGUAGGGUGCAAGCGUUGCCCGGAUUUAUUGGGCGUAAAGGGCGCGCAGGCGGCUCGGCACGUCCGUUGUGAAAUCGCCCGGCUCAACUGGGCGGGGUCAGCGGAUACGGUCGAGCUUGAGCAAGCUAGGGGGCAAUGGAAUUCCCGGUGUAGUGGUGGAAUGCGUAGAUAUCGGGAGGAACACCAGUGGCGAAGGCGGUUGCCUGGAGCUUUGCUGACGCUGAGGCGCGAAAGCGUGGGGAGCGAUCCGG
This 253-nucleotide ribosomal RNA is filed under the name uncultured bacterium. RNAcentral describes it as "partial 16S ribosomal RNA". It matches the Rfam family "Bacterial small subunit ribosomal RNA", at positions 524 to 776 of the family's 1533-position model. The record is from RNAcentral.